GACGAACGCUGGCGGCGUGCCUAAUACAUGCCAGUUGAGCGCUGAAGGUUGGUACUUGUACCGACUGGAUGAGCAGCGAACGGGUGAGUAACGCGUGGGGAAUCUGCCUUUGAGCGGGGGACAACAUUUGGAAACGAAUGCUAAUACCGCAUAAAAACUUUAAACACAAGUUUUAAGUUUGAAAGAUGCAAUUGCAUCACUCAAAGAUGAUCCCGCGUUGUAUUAGCUAGUUGGUGAGGUAAAGGCUCACCAAGGCGAUGAUACAUAGCCGACCUGAGAGGGUGAUCGGCCACAUUGGGACUGAGACACGGCCCAAACGCCUACGGGAGGCAGCAGUAGGGAAUCUUCGGCAAUGGACGAAAGUCUGACCGAGCAACGCCGCGUGAGUGAAGAAGGGUUUCGGAUCGUAAAACUCUGUUGGUAGAGAAGAACGUUGGUGAGAGUGGAAAGCUCAUCAAGUGACGGUAACUACCCAGAAAGGGACGGCUAACUACGUG
This 497-nucleotide ribosomal RNA is filed under the name uncultured bacterium. RNAcentral describes it as "partial 16S ribosomal RNA". It matches the Rfam family "Bacterial small subunit ribosomal RNA", at positions 28 to 507 of the family's 1533-position model. The record is from RNAcentral.